This is a long non-coding RNA of Lutra lutra (Eurasian river otter), 3317 nucleotides long. RefSeq lists it as uncharacterized. The transcript is spliced from 5 exons. The record is from RefSeq and is a predicted model, not a curated record. Lineage: Eukaryota; Metazoa; Chordata; Mammalia; Carnivora; Mustelidae.
CUUUAGCUGGUUUGGGAGGAAAGGGAGGAAAGGGGAAGGGGGAAAAAAAAAAAAGUCCCAAACCAUGCGCUCGGCGCGUUUUCACGAAUCCCCUGCGGUACCAGCCCCCGCGCCCGCCCCGCCCGGCGAGCUCUUCCUCCGCCCACCUCCCGCUCCUUCCCCAUUGGCCGGCCGGUGCAGUUUGAAUUUUUUCUUUUCUUUCUUUUUUUUUUUUUUUUCGGAUGCUUGUUUUCUUGUAAAAAAUACAGUACCCCCACCUCGUACUAUGAAACCCACUGCGGCGGCCCGAGGUGGGGUGUUUUAGCUGGUUUGGGGGAGGCGGGGGGGGCGGAGCAUCUGUGCCAACAUUUUGCCCCGAAGUGCGGUUGACAUUGAGCAGGCAGGUAGGGGAGCGUGGGGCCGCGGUAAACAAAUUGAGUAGCUUCGGCGGGGACAGAGAUGUAGUAUAAAACGUUAAUGGAUGUCCCGGGCGCACCGUUUCGCCGGCUGCUGGUCAGAGGUGCUAGGGAGUUGCUGACAGGAUCCCGGGAGAGGAUGCACGUCCCCUGCCUUGGAAAGGCUGAGUGAUCGCGUCCCCGCCCCGGGCUUCGUUGGUGACGGGAGAAGCAGAGUUUGCAUGUGUGGAAGCCAUGACCACCUUUCACAUUCAGUAUCAGAUUCCUGUCAUCCACCCUAAGCCUAGUCUACGGCUUAGGGUCACCUUUUUUUGCUCACAGAAAUCCUCUGAAUCAGCCUCUUAAAGUUUCACCAACCUUUUCUGCAUCUGCUAACACAGGAGCCAUUGGUACCAAGUGAUGGCCACUUUAUGGCCGGCAAAGGACCUUAAAUCAUCUAGCCCAAGCCCCUCUUUUGAGACAACUGAAGCCCCGAGAGGUUGUCAGCAGCCUAAAGUUACUCACCUCGUGGCUGGCUGAGGCAGGACCAAAACCCAGAGGCCCUGGAUUCUGGAGGAGACACUUCCUUUAGGACACCCACGCUGAACUUGCACAGAUGUCCGUUGUGCACAGAUGGAAGGCUGGAUGCUUUGUGUGCUUGGCUCACUCUAGAGGCCUUGUUGAAUUAAGCAGAGUGCCUGGCAGGGAAGAGGAUGAAAAUGCUGAGAGAAGACCAAAUUGCUCUCCCCCACCGCAGGCUGAGGGUGAACCUUGAAAGAAAAGUUCACGAGAAGGUUGAAGAGGCAGAAGAGAUGGGGCAAAAGUGGAUGGACUAAGUUUGCAUUGAUGUGGCUCAAGAAUCCCUCCCUCUACUUGUCCUCAAGUUGCUAGACGCCGGUUAUUUAAAUAUGAUGGAGAAAUCCUCCCCAGGUAAUGGUUUUCUCAGGCCUAAGGAAUUCCACUAGAAGGGGGUGGUAGAAAAAGCCCCUGCAGCACAAGAAGAAAAAUGCUUCCUGGUUAUUCUGGGAGUCUGUUACUGGACGGAAUUCACCUUCAUUGCAACGCUAUGGCGCAGGCACCUAAAAGUCAAAAUGGCCAUGGAAAUGAAAAGGUUCUGAUCAGCUGGGUGGGAAAGAACAGCUCCACAAAUAAGGUCGAAUGACUGAAGGUGUUGCUACUGCACAUUUCUGCCUUUGCAAGAAGGCCCUCCCGCCAAAUGCCUUCCCAGAGGUGGGGCGUCCUGGUUAUGGUAAGUGCAAGGUGCCAUUGUGCAGAAAUUAACCUGUAGCUAGUAGAUUUCUCCUAACUGGGUUUUAAUCCACAGUGCACAUGUUCUGGAUUCUUGGUCUCAAUCAAAUGGCUUCUUGGUGAGGCUGUUAUCUUUGCGAUAGUCUUUGGCAACCCAAAAUGCUGGUGCUGGCUAUUUUGCUUGAGAUACUUGUGAAAAAAUAGUCCUUUCUGGCUAUGGUAUGUGUAGAGCUGGUGCUAUAUGAUCAAUUUGCAUCUUCUAUUAAAUUUAUAGACUCUAGGAAAGAGCACAUUACAGACUUGCUGGUGUAACUGUUGUUUUCUAAUUUAGGGGUCUUGUAGGAGCUGCCGCCAUUCCAGUGAGAUCUGGCUUAAGCUGUAGUUACUAAAGAUUCCUGACUCAACCCAGACAUUGAAAUCCCCUCCAACUGAGACAGAGCAGAAUAAAAAAUUGGGGAAGAUGAAUUUUGGGCCUUAAUUUUUUUGAAUUUUAACCCACAAAAACAAGAUAAUUUUAUUUUGAACCUUACUUUCUUUGAACUUUCAUGUCUCAUGAUUUGGAUUUCAUUCCUUGGACCUUACUUUCUCCCUAACCAUUUGAUCAAAGGAAGAGAAAAAGUUAAUGUUAACAAAUCUUUUCCCCUCAACAUUAUUGGCAUUUUGUUAUUGAGGUUUUUUUGUGCAUAUUAAUAUUGGAAUCACGUAGUUUUGUCAUAUAACCUCCAUCCUGAUCCUCUGAUUUCCUCUGCCGACAACACGGACAGGCAUGAUAAAAACGGGUGAUAGGAAAAUGAAAAUUUCAACCUUGGAUACAAAAUGGCAUUGAACUAUUUAAUUAAUGCAUUAUAGGGAACUAUUUUGGAACCUUUUGUGAGUGAAAUCUCUUCCCCAUCACUGCUCCUGGGAGGACACCAAGUUGGAGGGUAUAAGAGGGAAGGGUGGCCUCUUGAAGAUGGAGCAAGACUGUUCUGAUAGGCUGCUGGGACCUUCUCUUAAGGAUGUCAGAUACACCUCUGGUUGACAGAGAUUUAAUAUCUAUGCCAGUGGUUUAAGAGAACCAAAAAAUCAAGGGACUAUUAGUGGGAGAAUAAUUCUCCCAACUUUUGAUAUUAUCUUCUGUCAUAGGCUGAGUGGUUCCCCAAACAUGUCCAUGUCCUAAUCCCCAGAACCUGUGAAUAUGUUACCGUAUAUCAAAGACUUUACAGAUGUGAGUAAGUUAAGAUCCUGAGGUGGGGAGGUUAUCCUGGAUUAUCUGGUUGGCCUGAUGUGAUCACAAAGGUCCUUAUAAGAGGGACACAAGAGGAGUAAGAGUCAGAGAGGAAGGUGAUGCGAUGACAACCAGAGAUGCAACUGAUGAUCAUUGGCAAUGGAGGAAGGAGACACAAGCAAAGAGGCACAGGCAGCCACAAAUGACAAAAAACCCAACAAUAACAACAACAACAACAAAAAACCUGCCAGCACCUUGACUUUACCUCAGUGAAAUGGAUUUUGGACUUCCUACCUCCAGAACUACUAGAGAGCAAAGUUGUGUUGUUUUAAGUAACCACAUUGUAAUUUGUUGCAGUGGCCACAGGAAAUGAAUAUACCUUCCAUACUUGAGGGAACCUGACUUAGUAGAUCUUUUGUGUCCUUGGAGAAGGCGAUGUAAUCUGAUGGGUGAAUCUGGAAUAAUAAAUUGGACACGAUUGGCUUGGU